This 238-nucleotide long non-coding RNA is filed under the name Daucus carota (carrot). RNAcentral's name for it is "long non-coding RNA (DCAR_LNC000992)". The record is from RNAcentral. Lineage: Eukaryota; Viridiplantae; Streptophyta; Magnoliopsida; Apiales; Apiaceae.
UGCAAGCUGGAAUAGUUGACAGUGAUUCUUCUUAUCGAAGAUGAUCUGAUUUGGUAAGAGAUGUUGUGUAAUAAUAGUGGUAGAUUCUAAUUUCAAUACUGUAACCUGGAUGCGAUCCUGUUGUUUUGGGGGGGUUUAAAUGUUCUCUUUGAAAUCUUUUAUUUAAGUUAAAUGUUCUCUUGAAAUUCUCCUAUUAUGGCUUUCAAGUUUGAAAUUCAGGUUUUGAAAUCAUUCGAUU